Molecule: ribosomal RNA, 460 nt
Filed under: uncultured bacterium
Lineage: Bacteria
Description: partial 16S ribosomal RNA
Rfam family: Bacterial small subunit ribosomal RNA
Source: RNAcentral
CCUACGGGAGGCAGCAGUGAGGAAUAUUGGUCAAUGGGCGCGAGCCUGAACCAGACAAGUAGCGUGAAGGAUGACUGCCCUGCGGGUUGUACACUUCUUUUAUAAAGGCAUAAAGUGAGGCACGUGUGCCUUUUUGUAUGUACUUUAUGAAUAAGGAUCGGCUAACUCCGUGCCAGCCGCCUCGGUAAUACGGAGGAUCCGAGCGUUAUCCGGAUUUAUUUGGUUUAUCGGGAGCGUAGAUGGGUUGUUAAGUCAGUUGUGAAAGUUUGCGGCUCAACCGUAAAAUUGCAAUUGAUACUGGCAGCCUUGAGUACAGUUGAGGUAGGCGGAAUUCGUGGUGUAGCGGUGAAAUGCUUAGAUAUCACGAAGAACUCCGAUUGCGAAGGCAGCUUACUAAACUGCCACUGACAUUGAUGCUCGAAAGUGUGGGUAUCAAACAGGAUUAGAUACCCGGGUAGUC